UGGGGGAUAUUGCACAAUGGGCGAAAGCCUGAUGCAGCGACGCCGCGUGGGGGAUGAAGGCUUUCGGGUUGUAAACCUCUUUCGCUAUCGAACAAGGCCCGCUUAGGGUGGGUUGAGGGUAGGUGGAGAAGAAGCGCCGGCUAACUACGUGCCAGCAGCCGCGGUAAUACGUAGGGCGCGAGCGUUGUCCGGAAUUAUUGGGCGUAAAGGGCCUGUAGGCGGCUUGUUGCGCCUGCUGUGAAAACGCGGGGCUUAACUUCGCGCGUGCAGUGGGUACGGGCAGGCUUGAGUGUGGUAGGGGUGACUGGAAUUCCAGGUGUAGCGGUGGAAUGCGCAGAUAUCUGGAGGAACACCGAUGGCGAAGGCAGGUCACUGGGCCAUUACUGACGCUGAGGAGCGAAAGCAUGGGUAGCGAACAGG
This 420-nucleotide ribosomal RNA is filed under the name bacterium. Its description in RNAcentral is "partial 16S ribosomal RNA". It matches the Rfam family "Bacterial small subunit ribosomal RNA", at positions 355 to 776 of the family's 1533-position model. The record is from RNAcentral.